This 1491-nucleotide ribosomal RNA is filed under the name metagenome. RNAcentral describes it as "bacterial SSU rRNA". It matches the Rfam family "Bacterial small subunit ribosomal RNA". The record is from RNAcentral.
AGAGUUUGAUCCUGGCUCAGAUUGAACGCUGGCGGCAUGCCUUACACAUGCAAGUCGAACGGCAGCACGAGAGCUUGCUCUUGGUGGCGAGUGGCGAACGGGUGAGUAAUAUAUCGGAACGUACCCUAGAGUGGGGGAUAACGUAGCGAAAGUUACGCUAAUACCGCAUACGAUCUACGGAUGAAAGUGGGGGAUCGCAAGACCUCAUGCUCAUGGAGCGGCCGAUAUCUGAUUAGCUAGUUGGUGGGGUAAAAGCUCACCAAGGCGACGAUCAGUAGCUGGUCUGAGAGGACGACCAGCCACACUGGAACUGAGACACGGUCCAGACUCCUACGGGAGGCAGCAGUGGGGAAUUUUGGACAAUGGGCGCAAGCCUGAUCCAGCAAUGCCGCGUGAGUGAAGAAGGCCUUCGGGUUGUAAAGCUCUUUUGUCAGGGAAGAAACGGUGGACUCUAAUACAGAUCACUAAUGACGGUACCUGAAGAAUAAGCACCGGCUAACUACGUGCCAGCAGCCGCGGUAAUACGUAGGGUGCAAGCGUUAAUCGGAAUUACUGGGCGUAAAGCGUGCGCAGGCGGUUGUGCAAGACAGAUGUGAAAUCCCCGGGCUCAACCUGGGAAUUGCAUUUGUGACUGCACGGCUAGAGUGUGUCAGAGGGGGGUAGAAUUCCACGUGUAGCAGUGAAAUGCGUAGAGAUGUGGGGGAAUACCGAUGGCGGAGGCAGCCCCCUGGGAUAACACUGACGCUCAUGCACGAAAGCGUGGGGAGCAAACAGGAUUAGAUACCCUGGUAGUCCACGCCCUAAACGAUGUCUACUAGUUGUCGGGUCUUAAUUGACUUGGUAACGCAGCUAACGCGUGAAGUAGACCGCCUGGGGAGUACGGUCGCAAGAUUAAAACUCAAAGGAAUUGACGGGGACCCGCACAAGCGGUGGAUGAUGUGGAUUAAUUCGAUGCAACGCGAAAAACCUUACCUACCCUUGACAUGUCUGGAAUCCUUGAGAGAUCAGGGAGUGCUCGAAAGAGAAUCAGAACACAGGUGCUGCAUGGCUGUCGUCAGCUCGUGUCGUGAGAUGUUGGGUUAAGUCCCGCAACGAGCGCAACCCUUGUCAUUAGUUGCUACGAAAGGGCACUCUAAUGAGACUGCCGGUGACAAACCGGAGGAAGGUGGGGAUGACGUCAAGUCCUCAUGGCCCUUAUGGGUAGGGCUUCACACGUCAUACAAUGGUACAUACAGAGGGCCGCCAACCCGCGAGGGGGAGCUAAUCCCAGAAAGUGUAUCAUAGUCCGGAUUGUAGUCUGCAACUCGACUACAUGAAGUUGGAAUCGCUAGUAAUCGCGGAUCAGCAUGUCGCGGUGAAUACGUUCCCGGGUCUUGUACACACCGCCCGUCACACCAUGGGAGCGGGUUUCACCAGAAGUGGGUAGCCUAACCGCAAGGAGGGCGCUCACCACGGUGGGAUUCGUGACUGGGGUGAAGUCGUAACAAGGUA